CUAGUUUUUGCUGUUUGGUAGUGUUGAUUGCAGUGUGAUUGAAGUAGGUCUAAAGCAAUUAGUUCUCAGGUAAUUAAUCAAGAGUAGUUUCAGGCUUCCUUAAGGUGUGAAUUGUGGGCAGGGCUUAGCUACAUAUAUUGAAGGUGUCUCCGCUACAGACACUUGUGUCUGUAGCGGUUAAUAAGAAUAUCCUGCAACAAAGGUAGUGCACAGAGAAUUGAUUUAAACUCUUGUUUGCCAAGAAGUUACAAGUUUUUAUAGACAGUUACCUCAGUCUAGCAUGUGUCUUCAACCUAUCUCUGUCAGUUCUCACAGACCAAGAUGCUUUUACUCACACAGCAGAGGCAGAUCUCCCAGAAACCUCAUCUACCCUCCAGUACUGUCUCAUUGUCCUGCACUGGUGAACUCAGCUACACCGGCUGCCCUAUCCUCUGCCUAUGUAUUCUCUCACACUCCACGAGAAACUGGCAGAGGUGGUGGUACGGGUCUCCUGUUGUCCAAGAGGUGGUCCUUCUCGCCCAUCACCCUGUCUCAUCUCAGUUUUUCAUCAUUUGAAUUUCAUGCAGUUAAGAUCUCCUUUGCCCGCUGUCAUCUAAACCAAGGAAGAAAUCUUGUCCUGCUCCUUGGCUAUCUGAUGUACUGCGCAACAACAGGAGAGAAUUAAGAACUGCGGAGAGAAGAUGGAAGAAAUCACAGCUUGAUGCAGAUCUCAUCUCUUACCAGACUCUUCUUUCCAAAUUCUCAUGUGAUGUGACUUCUGCCAAAACUACCUUCUUCAGACAAAAGU
This is a long non-coding RNA of Clarias gariepinus (North African catfish), 787 nucleotides long. RefSeq lists it as uncharacterized. The transcript has 3 exons. Lineage: Eukaryota; Metazoa; Chordata; Actinopteri; Siluriformes; Clariidae. The record is from RefSeq and is a predicted model, not a curated record.